UGGGGAAUUUUGGACAAUGGGCGCAAGCCUGAUCCAGCCAUGCCGCGUGCGGGAAGAAGGCCUUCGGGUUGUAAACCGCUUUUGUCAGGGAAGAAAUCUUCUGAGUUAAUACCUCGGGGAGGAUGACGGUACCUGAAGAAUAAGCACCGGCUAACUACGUGCCAGCAGCCGCGGUAAUACGUAGGGUGCAAGCGUUAAUCGGAAUUACUGGGCGUAAAGCGUGCGCAGGCGGUUUUGUAAGACAGAGGUGAAAUCCCCGGGCUCAACCUGGGAACUGCCUUUGUGACUGCAAGGCUUGAGUGCGGCAGAGGGGGGAUGGAAUUCCGCGUGUAGCAGUGAAAUGCGUAGAUAUGCGGAGGAACACCGAUGGCGAAGGCAAUCCCCUGGGCCUGCACUGACGCUCAUGCACGAAAGCGUGGGGAGCAAACAGGAUUAGAUAGCCCUGGUAGUCCACGCCCUAAAACCGAUGUCAACUGGUUGUUGGGAAGGUUCCUUCUCAGUAACGUAGCUAACGCGUGAAGUUGACCGCCUGGGGAGUACGGCCGCAA
RNAcentral lists this ribosomal RNA (548 nucleotides) under uncultured bacterium. Its description in RNAcentral is "partial 16S ribosomal RNA". It matches the Rfam family "Bacterial small subunit ribosomal RNA", at positions 355 to 891 of the family's 1533-position model. The record is from RNAcentral.